AGGGCUGUAGUCAACCAUGACAUGUGACUUGCACUUACAGGGUAUUCUCGCGAAUCGGCCUUA
RNAcentral lists this transfer RNA (63 nucleotides) under Palinurellus wieneckii. Its description in RNAcentral is "tRNA-Ala". The record is from RNAcentral. Lineage: Eukaryota; Metazoa; Arthropoda; Malacostraca; Decapoda; Synaxidae.